ACUUACCAACCCGAUGCAAACUACGAAUACCGAAGAAUGUUAUCACGGGAGACACACGGCGGGUGCUAACGUCCGUCGUGAAGAGGGAAACAACCCAGACCGCCAGCUAAGGUCCCAAAGUCAUGGUUAAGUGGGAAACGAUGUGGGAAGGCACAGACAGCCAGGAUGUUGGCUUAGAAGCAGCCAUCAUUUAAAGAAAGCGUAAUAGCUCACUGGUCGAGUCGGCCUGCGCGGAAGAUGUAACGGGGCUAAACCAUGCACCGAAGCUGCGGCAGCGACACUAUGUGUUGUUGGGUAGGGGAGCGUUCUGUAAGCCGUUGAAGGUGGCCUGUGAGGGUUGCUGGAGGUAUCAGAAGUGCGAAUGCUGACAUAAGUAACGAUAAAGCGGGUGAAAAGCCCGCUCGCCGGAAGACCAAGGGUUCCUGUCCAACGUUAAUCGGGGCAGGGUGAGUCGACCCCUAAGGCGAGGCCGAAAGGCGUAGUCGAUGGGAAACAGGUUAAUAUUCCUGUACUCGGUGUUACUGCGAAGGGGGGACGGAGAAGGCUAUGUUAGCCGGGC
Molecule: ribosomal RNA, 559 nt
Filed under: Klebsiella ornithinolytica
Lineage: Bacteria; Pseudomonadati; Pseudomonadota; Gammaproteobacteria; Enterobacterales; Enterobacteriaceae
Description: Raoultella ornithinolytica partial 23S ribosomal RNA
Rfam family: Bacterial large subunit ribosomal RNA
Source: RNAcentral